UAUUUCUUAUAAAUAUCGCAACAAUACUCGUCUUCAGUCUUUCUUCUCCAAAUAGAAAAAAAAAUUGAGAGAGAGAGAGUGGAUACGGAGCAGAGGAGGAUACGGCGCAACUGAUUGAUAUGGCUGGGUGAUGCGCGGAGGCGGAGGAGCGUUGUUCAUCCUCUCCACGGCGUCUGAUUUGACCGACGACGACCUAAAGUAGAAAAAGGUCGUCGUUUGAAUAAUAAACAAACGAUGUAAUUCAGGCUUUGGGGAUUUCUUAGGGUUUACAUAAUAUUUUGAUCAGCCAUGGUUUGAACAAUGGUGGUGGUGAAGAAGAAGAAGACGAAGAAGAAGAAGAAGAUUCUGACCGCUUAAGAUCAGAGAGAGAGAGAGAGAGAUAUCAUUGACAUAUUUUGGCAGGUCCACCUUUGCUUGCAACACAAACAACUACGCCACAUCUGCUAGCUAGAAUUUCAGGAACAGUGGCAAAGGCUUACCAGCCAAAUCACACAGAGACAUUCUCCAAUUGCUUUAACGACAGAAGUGUCUAAUCAGAUCGGAGAUGGCUUGAAGAAUGAUGAAGAAGACUCAUACUGCUUAAGGAACAAUGGCAAGGGAUAACCUGUCCGCUCACACAGACACAUCUUCACAGAGAGACAUCGUCUAAGCAGAUCAAAGAGAUAUGAUCAAAUCCUAUGUCAUUGACAUCUGAGACGAGGCCUAUGGAGUUUGGUGAAAUCAAAGACUGCGGUUGGCCAUGGCAGAUACACAUAUCACAAGGAGCCAAUCGAGAUGUUUGUUCUGUGGAUUCGUUUGCUUGUAGAUCAAACUCAAUGGCCAAGAUUGUACAUGACGAGCUAGUGAAUUUGUGAUGGCUGCCGGAGAUGUAUCUGAGCUACGCUUUGCUAAACCAGGUCUUGAAGAGGAUUCAAAGACGAGAAGUCCUCUUCCCAUACAAUUAAAUUAUUGAUAUUAUGUUUCUAUGGAUGUUUGAUGAGAGUCAUGCCUUGAAGCCGUUUAACAAGACUGCCGCUGAUCUCUUGGCCAAGAAAGAUGAUUGACCUUCAUUCAAAACUUACAAGCUGACGAGACCUAUGGAGAUUGGUGAAACCGAAGACCUGCAGGAACACCUUGAAAGACAGCAGCUAAGCUCAGGGAAGGUUAAUGAAGGUGUAGCUGAUUCUCAACCUCCUAAACAGUUUUUACUAAAGAAAUAGUUUAUUUGUUAGGAAAAAUCCCCUGAGGGAAGGACGAUGCUGGAUUUCCGGAAAUCUUUGCUAAAGACAAAGAAAGACUUCUUCAAGCUAUUCCUCGUAACCAGGUGAAGAUUUUGGUGAGACGAGAAGACUGCUGUUGGCCAUGGAGUUUGGUGAAACCGAAGACUGCUGUUGGCCAUGGAAGAUACACAAAAGACAUAACAUAAGGAUUCAAGUGAAUAGCCGAGACUUGUGGAAUUAUUGAAGGCUGCUGCUUGCAGAUCAAACUCAAUGGCGGAGAUCGUACAUGACUAGUGAAAUUGUGAUGCCUGCUGGAGAUGUAUCUGAUGAGCUACGCUUUGCUAAACCAGGUCUUAAAGAGGAAGCAAAGACGACCAAACCCUAGAAGAUCUCUUCCCACACAAUUAAAUUUGUUGGGUGUCAGUCACUGCUUUCAUGAGAAAUGCAUAAGGUUCACGGGCAUAACAAUGUCUAUAACCCUACUAUCUUUCCGCACAGUGUUGGUCUCGGAGCCACCAGGCAACUAUUACCUAAAACGUUUAUUUGGUUUUGGAUCCUGAUCUGGUUAAGAGGAAUUGAGCAGCCACUGCAGUCGAAGUCAGAGCCACUGGAAUUCCAUACACAUUUUCUCCUUGCAUUGCAGUAAAGUUUUCUGCAUUCUGGAUCCUAUACUUUAGCCAGCGGUCUUAGAAAUCCCCUGAGCAAUGUUGAUGAGUAGAAGUCGAAGUUAGGCGUUCCAGAGACAAAAGGGAUCGAAGGGAUUAUGAGCAAAUUUUAAAUCUUGCCAAGAAAAUGCGAUUGUACAGUGAGAUUUAUGGUCGCAAGCAAGGUUUCCUCUUCCCAAUUACCGGCCAGGUUUGGAUGACAAGCGACCACAACGGGAGGUAACAUUGCCUCCCUUGAUUUACCAAAACCGUAGCACUUCCUCUGAGUUUGCAAAGAAGUGUUCCUGCCGGAACACUUUGAUAGACAGCAGCUAAGCUCAGGGAAGGCUAAUGAAGGUGUAGCUGAUUCUCAACCUCCUAAAUAGAUCGAAGAACUUCCGGAUGAAAGUUCUGAUGCGUUUAUUGAUGGUUCUCUUAUGGAGAAGGUACUUAAGAGGAGAAGUAUGCGGAUGCGCAAUAUGCAGAGAGCCUGGCAGGAAUCCCGUGAGAGAAGGACGAUGCUGGUACUCCGGAAAUCUUUACUAAGGACAAAGAAAGACUUCUUCACGGAACCAGGUGAAUGUAAGAUGUUUUAAUUGUAGUGUUAAAGGAGCGGAGCGUCCAGAUCUGAGAUUGAUUCUCAUGAUUGCCACUUUAAAUGCUGAACUCUUUUCUAAUUAUUAUGGAGGGGCACCUACCAUUCACAUUCCUGUUGAGGGAUCCUGAUCUGGUGAAGAGGAUUGGAGCAGCCACUGCAGUCGAAGUCAGAGCCACUGGAAUUCCAUACACAGUUGCUCCUUGCAUUGCAGGUUGUAGAGAUCCCAGAUUGGUUAGGUGUUAUGAGCACUGCAGCGAGGAUCACAAAAUUGUGGAAGACAUGACAGAUGUCAUACUUGGUUUACAAGGAGAGCAUCCUUCCAACUAUAAAGCAUGGCAUUCCAUUUGUUGGUGGCAGGUGUAAAGUUGCAACAUGUGCCAAGCAUUACGUGGGAGAUGCUGGGGCAACAGGAGGAAUAAAAAUGAGAAUAACACGGUAACUCAUGGUCUUCUUAGUGUUCGCAUGCCUGCUUAUGCUGAUGCAUUUUACAAAGGUGCUUCCACAGUGAUGGUUUCAUAUUCAAGCUGGAAUGGUGAGAAGAUGCAUACAAAUACUGAGCUUAUCACAGGUGGGGAAAAGGGCUAUUUCAUACCCGUACACACCCCAAAAGUGUGAAUUCCUUCUUUUACAAACAACAAGUGCUAAUUUAAACAUGUACCCCAAUAUAUUACAAAUUUCAUACAUGUACUCACAAAAUUGAGUCAAUUGCUAAGUCCACGUUAACAAAUUUAAGUCAA
Molecule: non-coding RNA, 3178 nt
Organism: Camelina sativa (false flax)
Lineage: Eukaryota; Viridiplantae; Streptophyta; Magnoliopsida; Brassicales; Brassicaceae
Source: RefSeq, a predicted model, not a curated record